GUGCUUGAUUUGGCAUUACAUAUACUAAAAUUGGAACGAUAUAGAACAGAUUAACAUGGCCCCUGCACAAGGAUGACAUGUAAAGUCACGAAGCUUUCCACAUUUUU
Molecule: small nuclear RNA, 107 nt
Organism: Ictidomys tridecemlineatus (thirteen-lined ground squirrel)
Lineage: Eukaryota; Metazoa; Chordata; Mammalia; Rodentia; Sciuridae
Source: Ensembl